GCAGUGGUGGUUCAGUGGUAGAAUUCUUGCCUUCCAUGCAGGAGACCCAGGUUCAAUUCCUGGCCAAUACA
Molecule: transfer RNA, 71 nt
Filed under: Trichechus manatus latirostris (Florida manatee)
Lineage: Eukaryota; Metazoa; Chordata; Mammalia; Sirenia; Trichechidae
Description: tRNA-Gly (TCC) (tRNA-Gly-TCC-40-1)
Rfam family: tRNA
About the family: Transfer RNA (tRNA) molecules are approximately 80 nucleotides in length. Their secondary structure includes four short double-helical elements and three loops (D, anti-codon, and T loops).
Source: Rfam by way of RNAcentral